UGCCUAGUAACGGCGAGUGAAGCGGCAACAGCUCAAAUUUGAAAUCUGGCUCUUUUAGAGUCCGAGUUGUAAUUUGCAGAGGGCGCUUUGGCUUUGGCAGCGGUCCAAGUUCCUUGGAACAGGACGUCACAGAGGGUGAGAAUCCCGUACGUGGUCGCUGGCUAUUGCCGUGUAAAGCCCCUUCGACGAGUCGAGUUGUUUGGGAAUGCAGCUCUAAAUGGGAGGUACAUUUCUUCUAAAGCUAAAUAUUGGCCAGAGACCGAUAGCGCACAAGUAGAGUGAUCGAAAGAUGAAAAGCACUUUGGAAAGAGAGUCAAACAGCACGUGAAAUUGUUGAAAGGGAAGCGCUUGCAGCCAGACUUGCUUACAGUUGCUCAUCCGGGUUUUUACCCGGUGCACUCUUCUGUAGGCAGGCCAGCAUCAGUUUGGGCGGUAGGAUAAAGGUCUCUGUCACGUACCUCCUUUCGGGGAGGCCUUAUAGGGGAGACGACAUACUACCAGCCUGGACUGAGGUCCGCGCAUCUGCUAGGAUGCUGGCGUAAUGGCUGUAAGCGGCCCGUCUUGAAACACGGACCAAGGAGUCUAACAUCUAUGCGAGUGUUUGGGUGUCAAGCCCGAGCGCGUAAUGAAAGUGAACGGAGGUGGGAACCCGCAAGGGUGCACCAUCGACCGAUCCUGAUGUCUUCGGAAGGAUUUGAGUAAGAGCAUGGCUGUUGGGACCCGAAAGAUGGUGAACUAUGCUUGAAUAGGGUGAAGCCAGAGGAAACUCUGGUGGAGGCUCGCAGCGGUUCUGACGUGCAAAUCGAUCGUCA
RNAcentral lists this ribosomal RNA (812 nucleotides) under Alternaria arborescens. RNAcentral's name for it is "LSU rRNA". It matches the Rfam family "Eukaryotic large subunit ribosomal RNA", at positions 76 to 907 of the family's 3401-position model. Lineage: Eukaryota; Fungi; Ascomycota; Dothideomycetes; Pleosporales; Pleosporaceae. The record is from RNAcentral.